Molecule: long non-coding RNA, 338 nt
Filed under: Danio rerio (zebrafish)
Lineage: Eukaryota; Metazoa; Chordata; Actinopteri; Cypriniformes; Danionidae
Description: lncRNA si:dkeyp-113d7.11 (ENSDARG00000096336.2)
Source: RNAcentral
GGUGUAUCCCUCCGCGGCCACAACAAAAAUGCAAAUUGGAAUUUCGUCGUGAAUUUGAAAUGCUUUUAAUGGAUAUAAUGGACUCGAGAGACUUGAACUAAAGUCUGGAACAACAAAAAAGCGGAGUUGAGGAAUCACAAGUACAGUAUAAUGACUGCUAUCAACAUGCCGCAAUUAAACAUUUGCAAAUCCAUGGAUCAAAGGGAGAAGCUUCUUCCCGAAGUCUAUCUGAUUUCUUUCUGUUACGCAUGAGGAGACGAGACGGGCCUUUAAUGUUCACAUUGCCUCGCCUCUCGAAAUUAAACGGAUGUCAGCGAAAUAAAAACAAGGUUUGAGUG